GUUCAUCAACUGAUACCUACUGCAGUUCCUAUGCUAGCCCGGCGACCGAGCUCCUCAGCCUUGGAGGGUCCCUCAUCCUGCACACAGCGAGGGCACUUCAUAAACGUGUUGCAUGCGGUCUUUGAAAAAAGUAAAUAACACCAUCCUGGUUAACAGUCACGGAAACUAAAGCUCCA
This 176-nucleotide long non-coding RNA is filed under the name Cavia porcellus (domestic guinea pig). RNAcentral describes it as "lncRNA (ENSCPOG00000030127.1)". The record is from RNAcentral. Lineage: Eukaryota; Metazoa; Chordata; Mammalia; Rodentia; Caviidae.